GAUGAACGCUGGCGGCGUGCCUAAUACAUGCAAGUCGAGCGAACAGACGAGGAGCUUGCUCCUCUGACGUUAGCGGCGGACGGGUGAGUGACACGUGGAUAACCUACCUAUAAGACUGGGAUAACUUCGGGAAACCGGAGCUAAUACCGGAUAAUAUAUUGAACCGCAUGGUUCAAUAGUGAAAGACGGUUUUGCUGUCACUUAUAGAUGGAUACGCGCCGCAUUAGCUAGUUGGUAAGGUAACGGCUUACCAAGGCAACGAUGCGUAGCCGACCUGAGAGGGUGAUCGGCCACACGGGAACUGAGACAGGGUCCAGACUCCUGCGGGAGGCAGCAGUAGGGAAUCUUCCGCAAGGGGGGAAAGCCUGACGGAGCAACGCCGCGUGAGUGAUGAAGGUCUUCGGAUCGGAAAACUCUGUUAUUAGGGAAGAACAAAUGUGUAAGUAACUAUGCACGUCUUGACGGUACCGAAUCAGAAAGCCACGGCUAACUACGUG
Molecule: ribosomal RNA, 497 nt
Filed under: uncultured bacterium
Lineage: Bacteria
Description: partial 16S ribosomal RNA
Rfam family: Bacterial small subunit ribosomal RNA
Source: RNAcentral